GGUUAAGCGAACAAGCGUACACGGUGGAUGCCCUGGCAGUCAGAGGCGAUGAAGGACGUGCUAAUCUGCGAAAAGCGCCGGUAAGGUGAUAUGAACCGUUAUAACCGGCGAUGUCCGAAUGGGGAAACCCGGUGCACUUCGGUGCAUCAUCGUUAGCUGAAUACAUAGGCUAACGAGGCGAACCGGGGGAACUGAAACAUCUAAGUACCCCGAGGAAAAGAAAUCAACCGAGAUUCCCCCAGUAGCGGCGAGCGAACGGGGAACAGCCCAGAGCCUGAAUCAGCUUGUGUGUCAGUGGAACGGUCUGGAAAGGCCGGCGAUACAGGGUGACAGCCCCGUACACGAAGGCACACAGGCUGUGAGCUCGAUGAGUAGGGCGGGACACGUGAUAUCCUGUCUGAAGAUGGGGGGACCAUCCUCCAAGGCUAAAUACUCCUGACUGACCGAUAGUGAACCAGUACCGUGAGGGAAAGGCGAAAAGAACCCCGGCGAGGGGAGUGAAACAGAACCUGAAACCGUGUACGUACAAGCAGUGGGAGCCUUCGUAAGAGGGUGACUGCGUACCUUUUGUAUAAUGGGUCAGCGACUUAUAUUCUGUAGCAAGGUUAACCGUAUAGGGGAGCCGAAGGGAAACCGAGUCUUAACCGGGCGUUAAGUUGCAGGGUAUAGACCCGAAACCCGGUGAUCUAGCCAUGGGCAGGUUGAAGGUUGGGUAACACUAACUGGAGGACCGAACCGACUAAUGUUGAAAAAUUAGCGGAUGACCUGUGGCUGGGGGUGAAAGGCCAAUCAAACCGGGAGAUAGCUGGUUCUCCCCGAAAGCUAUUUAGGUAGCGCCUCGUGAACUCAUCUCCGGGGGUAGAGCACUGUUUCGGCUAGGGGGCCAUCCCGGCUUACCAACCCGAUGCAAACUGCGAAUACCGGAGAAUGUUAUCACGGGAGACACACGGCGGGUGCUAACGUCCGUCGUGAAGAGGGAAACAACCCAGACCGCCAGCUAAGGUCCCAAAGUCAUGGUUAAGUGGGAAACGAUGUGGGAAGGCCCAGACAGCCAGGAUGUUGGCUUAGAAGCAGCCAUCAUUUAAAGAAAGCGUAAUAGCUCACUGGUCGAGUCGGCCUGCGCGGAAGAUGUAACGGGGCUAAACCAUGCACCGAAGCUGCGGCAGCGACGCUUAUGCGUUGUUGGGUAGGGGAGCGUUCUGUAAGCCUGCGAAGGUGUGCUGUGAGGCAUGCUGGAGGUAUCAGAAGUGCGAAUGCUGACAUAAGUAACGAUAAAGCGGGUGAAAAGCCCGCUCGCCGGAAGACCAAGGGUUCCUGUCCAACGUUAAUCGGGGCAGGGUGAGUCGACCCCUAAGGCGAGGCCGAAAGGCGUAGUCGAUGGGAAACAGGUUAAUAUUCCUGUACUUGGUGUUACUGCGAAGGGGGGACGGAGAAGGCUAUGUCGGCCGGGCGACGGUUGUCCCGGUUUAAGCGUGUAGGCUGACUUUCCAGGCAAAUCCGGAAAGUUAAGGCUGAGGCGUGAUGACGAGGCACCACGGUGCUGAAGUGACAAAUGCCCUGCUUCCAGGAAAAGCCUCUAAGCAUCAGGUAACAUCAAAUCGUACCCCAAACCGACACAGGUGGUCAGGUAGAGAAUACCAAGGCGCUUGAGAGAACUCGGGUGAAGGAACUAGGCAAAAUGGUGCCGUAACUUCGGGAGAAGGCACGCUGACAUGUAGGUGAAGCCCCUGCGGGUGGAGCUGAAGUCAGUCGAAGAUACCAGCUGGCUGCAACUGUUUAUUAAAAACACAGCACUGUGCAAACACGAAAGUGGACGUAUACGGUGUGACGCCUGCCCGGUGCCGGAAGGUUAAUUGAUGGGGUUAUCGCAAGAGAAGCUCCUGAUCGAAGCCCCGGUAAACGGCGGCCGUAACUAUAACGGUCCUAAGGUAGCGAAAUUCCUUGUCGGGUAAGUUCCGACCUGCACGAAUGGCGUAAUGAUGGCCAGGCUGUCUCCACCCGAGACUCAGUGAAAUUGAACUCGCUGUGAAGAUGCAGUGUACCCGCGGCAAGACGGAAAGACCCCGUGAACCUUUACUACAGCUUGACACUGAACAUUGAGCCUUGAUGUGUAGGAUAGGUGGGAGGCUUUGAAGCGUGGACGCCAGUCUGCGUGGAGCCGACCUUGAAAUACCACCCUUUAAUGUUUGAUGUUCUAACCUGGCGCCAUAAUCUGGCGUGGGGACAGUGUCUGGUGGGUAGUUUGACUGGGGCGGUCUCCUCCCAAAGUGUAACGGAGGAGCACGAAGGUCAGCUAAUCCUGGUCGGACAUCAGGAGGUUAGUGCAAUGGCAUAAGCUGGCUUGACUGCGAGAGUGACGGCUCGAGCAGGUGCGAAAGCAGGUCAUAGUGAUCCGGUGGUUCUGUAUGGAAGGGCCAUCGCUCAACGGAUAAAAGGUACUCCGGGGAUAACAGGCUGAUACCGCCCAAGAGUUCAUAUCGACGGCGGUGUUUGGCACCUCGAUGUCGGCUCAUCACAUCCUGGGGCUGAAGUAGGUCCCAAGGGUAUGGCUGUUCGCCAUUUAAAGUGGUACGCGAGCUGGGUUUAGAACGUCGUGAGACAGUUCGGUCCCUAUCUGCCGUGGGCGCUGGAGAAUUGAGGGGGGCUGCUCCCAGUACGAGAGGACCGGAGUGGACGCAUCACUGGUGUUCGGGUUGUCAUGCCAAUGGCACUGCCCGGUAGCUAAAUGCGGAAGAGAUAAGUGCUGAAAGCAUCUAAGCACGAAACUUGCCCCGAGAUGAGUUCUCCCUGAGACUAUAAGUCUCCUGAAGGAACGUUGAAGACGACGACGUUGAUAGGCCGGGUGUGUAAGCGCAGCGAUGCGUUGAGCUAACCGGUACUAAUGAACCGUGAGGCUUAACCUU
RNAcentral lists this ribosomal RNA (2903 nucleotides) under Cronobacter sakazakii. RNAcentral describes it as "23S ribosomal RNA". It matches the Rfam family "Bacterial large subunit ribosomal RNA". Lineage: Bacteria; Pseudomonadati; Pseudomonadota; Gammaproteobacteria; Enterobacterales; Enterobacteriaceae. RNAcentral also lists the same sequence under 1 other name. The record is from RNAcentral.